AGGGACUCGGCUGCUACUGUGCCA
Molecule: non-coding RNA, 24 nt
Filed under: Mus musculus (house mouse)
Lineage: Eukaryota; Metazoa; Chordata; Mammalia; Rodentia; Muridae
Source: RNAcentral